UACGGAGGAGGCAAGCGUUAUCCGGAAUUAUUGGGCGUAAAGCGUCUGCAGGUGGACUGGUAAGUCUGCCGUCAAAGCACGGGGCUUAACCCCGUAAAGGCGGUGGAAACUGCCAGACUAGAGGCUGGUAGGGGUAGAGGGAAUUCCCAGUGUAGCGGUGAAAUGCGUAGAGAUUGGGAAGAACACCAGUGGCGAAAGCGCUCUACUGGACCAGAACUGACACUCAGGGACGAAAGCUAGGGGAGCGAAAGGG
Molecule: ribosomal RNA, 253 nt
Filed under: uncultured bacterium
Lineage: Bacteria
Description: partial 16S ribosomal RNA
Rfam family: Bacterial small subunit ribosomal RNA
Source: RNAcentral